GAUGAACGCUGGCGGCGUGCCUAACACAUGCAAGUCGAACGGAGUUACGAGAGCUUGCUUUUGUAACUUAGUGGCGAACGGGUGAGUAAUGCGUGAGCAACCUGCCCUUCAGAGGGGGACAACAGUUGGAAACGGCUGCUAAUACCGCAUAAUGUAUUUAGGAGGCAUCUCCUGGAUACCAAAGGNGAAAUCCGCUGAAGGAUGGGCUCACGUCUGAUUAGCUAGUUGGUGAGGUAACGGCUCACCAAGGCUGCGAUCAGUAGCCGGACUGAGAGGUUGAACGGCCACAUUGGGACUGAGAUACGGCCCAGACUCCUACGGGAGGCAGCAGUGGGAAUAUUGGGCAAUGGGCGAAAGCCGUGACCCAGCAACGCCGCGUGAA
Molecule: ribosomal RNA, 382 nt
Filed under: uncultured bacterium
Lineage: Bacteria
Description: bacterial SSU rRNA
Rfam family: Bacterial small subunit ribosomal RNA
Source: RNAcentral